GAUGAACGCUAGCUACAGGCUUAACACAUGCAAGUCGAGGGGCAUCAGGAAGAAAGCUUGCUUUCUUUGCUGGCGACCGGCGCACGGGUGAGUAACACGUAUCCAACCUGCCCUUUACUCGGGGAUAGCCUUUCGAAAGAAAGAUUAAUACCCGAUAGCAUAAUGAUUCCGCAUGGUUUCAUUAUUAAAGGAUUCCGGUAAAGGAUGGGGAUGCGUUCCAUUAGGUUGUUGGUGAGUAUAACAGACCCACCAAGCCGACGGAUCGGGUAGCCGGACUGAGACGGUUGAUCGGCCACAUUGGGACUGAGACCACGGCCCAG
RNAcentral lists this ribosomal RNA (320 nucleotides) under uncultured bacterium. RNAcentral's name for it is "bacterial SSU rRNA". It matches the Rfam family "Bacterial small subunit ribosomal RNA", at positions 28 to 334 of the family's 1533-position model. The record is from RNAcentral.